This is a long non-coding RNA of Panicum hallii, 1617 nucleotides long. RefSeq lists it as uncharacterized. The record is from RefSeq and is a predicted model, not a curated record. The transcript is spliced from 4 exons. NCBI's taxonomy places the organism in Eukaryota, Viridiplantae, Streptophyta, Magnoliopsida, Poales, Poaceae.
CGUCCUCUCUCUCCUCUCAUUUUCUUUCUCUCCUCUCCUGCUCCCCCACCCCGCCGCCACCACCACGCACCAGCCGCUCCUCCUCACCAUGGCGGCAUUAUCCUUGGCGCCACCAGAGAUGGGAUCCUCCAUGCACGCCUUGCCGGGGACAAGGUUCUCCGCUCGCGCCGCCGAGGACGGGGUCCUUCGCUCGCGCGCCACCGCUGGGGACGAGGUCCUCCGCUCACGUAUGUCGGAAGCGCUCCCAUCGCCACUACCGGGGACGGGGUCCUCCGUGCACUACAUGUUUGGGCCACGACAGCCACGAGAUUUGCUGCGGGCAGGCCACAACAGCUAAGAUCUAUGGUGAUGCUAAGAUACUCAGUGCGCGGGUCAUGCCUCAGCAGCGAGAAGGCAAAGGGCCCAGCCCCUACACGGAGAAGGUGGCGAAGGAGGAGGAUCCCGCGUGGCCGCGCCUCUCCCUGGUCCACAACCUCACGCGGGUGGUGGCACGUCUCCGCUCAUCCACUCCACCAGUCUUCUCUACCCCUCAUCGUCUCCUCUACCCAGGUAGUUUCACUGCAAAAACAACCCCUACGGUCCGCAGGAAUCAAACCCAAGACCUCCUGCCUCGCAUAUAGUUUCCUUACCAUUCCACCUACACAGCACAUGUGACUCUAGACAUGAUGCUUUUAUUUUAAACUGACCCGUGAAGAACUCUUUAGUCAUUAGUCCCGGUUGGUGGCUCCAACCAGGACUAACGAUCCCAACCCCCUAGCCGUUGGACACGAAACUAAUGCUUUCAUUAGUCCUAGGCACAAUGCCAACAGGAACAAAUGACAAAAAUGAAUGACCAUCUCUGUACUAGUGUUUCUUCUCUCCCUUUUGUCUUCGAGCCUGCCCCUCUACUGCUUGAGCCUCCCCUCUGCAGCUUGUGCAUCUUCUGCUCUACGUACUGCUCAUGCAAAACUCUGCUAACCUGAUUGGUAAUGGGGACAAUAUGUUGAAAACAACUCUAGCGUGGUAUGAGUUUGAAAAGUUUGUUCUAAUUAAACAUAUAGUACUAAUCUAUCAUUUGCUUUGCUAUGAUGCGUUUUCAUGCUUGCAAGACAAUUGCAAAGCUCAGGCAGGAUAUCGUUUGUGAUGAAUGUAUUAUGCUCGGACAUGGGUAUUUCAGAGUAGUACUGGAAGUUCUAAAGCUAGCAGCACCAAAUGGCAAGCUCUUCCAGGUGCUAUGCACAGAUAAUGCACCAACAAAUGAUAGAUUAUGUGAUUACUUGCUGGAAGGUAUGUUUGAGGCCAUCUCAAUUCAGGCAUCGGCUUAGGCUGUGGUGCUCUUUGCAGGGAUGGUUAUGGGACAUAUCUUGGCUUCUGGACUUCUGGAUCAAACUAUCAGAUGAUCCAGUAGAUAGUAUUCACUAACAUGGCUCAAAGUGAAAAUUCAAGGUUUAGUUCUUGUAGAAUGCCAUUAGAUUCAACUUAUGUACUAAUUCAGAUCAGUGGCAUUAGGAACUGCUGAAAAUAAGAUAGCAGAUUAGAGGAGGCAUUGUGAUGUAUGUAUGAGCACAAAUGUAUGAACAGAUGUAUGUUUCUGUGAUCAGAGGAGGCACUAUGAUGUAUAUAUGGCCUAUUUUUUUA